Non-coding RNA from Arachis ipaensis, 3121 nucleotides. The record is from RefSeq and is a predicted model, not a curated record. NCBI's taxonomy places the organism in Eukaryota, Viridiplantae, Streptophyta, Magnoliopsida, Fabales, Fabaceae.
AUAAUAACUCUAAAAAGUAAAAAAAAAUAUGUUUGACAAAAAAAAAAGUUAUUCCAUAAGACAGAGUAAUAGAAACUUCAAAGCAUAUAAGAUUGAGAAAAAGUUUUUGGCUAUGAAGAGGUUCUUUCUCUUUUUGGGGUUAAAGUUCAAAUUUCAAACACAAUUUGAAUGAGCAUUCCAAAUCAGAACUAUUCUUUUAUUCUUGAUUUUCUGUUUCUCUCUUCGCUUCUUUCUUUCUACCUGGGCGCUCUCUCUUUGAAAAGAAAAAGAAAGCUCACCGGUGAUGGAAACAGUAACUGGCAUAGAAGAUAGAGAAUGGGGCGAGCUCAGUGCUGUGGGUUAGCAGAGCGUCUGUCGAAGAAAAAAGAAGACGACGAAAAAGAGGCUCCGAAUCUGUUUCCGGCAAGUAGCAAAGAUGGAGAACAAUAAAUUAGAGAUGGCGGUGGCCGUUGAUGCAGCUGCAAGGAGAAAGAAUAGUGGCACGGUGAGCGGUGUUACUUCCAUCAGAGAAGAAGGAGCAGUUGGCAACAAGUUGACGACUUCGGUCAAAAGAAUGGAGAGCUCCGAGAUCCUGUUGUCGGUGGUGUGGCAGAGGAACAACUUCCCUGACAAAGCUCAAGAUGUGAAAUUUGCUGGCAAGGUGCUCUGGCUGAAGCUGCCAUAGGCCAAAACGAGGUAAGUCAGAAAAAGCAACAAGUCCCGAGUGAGGCCAAUCAAGUGGCACCCUCAGUUGAAUUGGUUAGCUGCAGAUACAGUUGGUUUAGGAAGUUCUCUGGCUGUUGUUGCAGAACAAAAAUGGCCCGUUGGAUUUUUAUGCUAAAAGAAGAGAAGAAAAGAGAAAAUGCUUAAUCCACAGAUGGAGGCAUUUGGUUUAGGCAGUGACUUGAUCACUCGUUGAUCGCUCAGUUGAUUUUUUGCUUAAUUUGCAAUAAGGAUAGAUGUUUUGUGUGUGAAUUGCUUUGGUAAGAACAAUGCCUUGAGAUGAAGACUACUUUGUGUUUUUUUGUGUUUAAAUUAAGAAAAUACCCGGUUGAAAGCAAUCUUUUUUUAUUGGGAUUGUCCAUGAUUCCUUUAAAAGAAGAGGUUAGUUUAGUAAUUUCAUCUAAUAUCAACCUAGAAGAAUUGGUUUUUGAUAAUUGGAAUAUGCAAAAUAGAUCUUUAUUUGUGGUUUCUAAUUGUGGAACUUAGGUAAACUUAAAUAGUGAAACUCAACUCAAAAUCGAUUCAGUGAGUAGACAUGUAAACUACAGAAUUUGAUUAGGAGAACUUUUUGGUAUCCACUGCAUCAUUGUAGCUGCAAGUUAUGGCUGUUUGUAUACCUUUCAUAAUCAGAACUAAUAAAUGAUCCAAUUUGUCCAAUACUGAUUUUGCAAGAAAGUGGAUCUGAAGUGUAUGACUGCCGAAAACAAAAUUGGCUGAAAGUAGAUGACAUUCAGGUUGUAUCUAUUGAAGUAGAUCUCAAUUCUCUUCUAUUUUGCUGAAAAACUUAGUUAAUGCACAGUCAUCUUUGAUAUAAAAAUUCAUAGACUUAAAUAUUAGCCUCCCAGUUAUGUUUAUAUAUUUUUUGAAAGUUUAAAUAAUUUUCUUUUGGCUUGCUCUUGAAAAGUUACAUUUUUAUUUAAGACAACAAUAUAAGGAAAUAGAAAACAAAUAGAAAAAAAAAAUUGGGCCUUUUUUUCUCCUACCUUUCUUAUGCAUGUGUCCUCCUAUGUUGUCUUAAUUGUGUGUUUUUACCUGAAAUGGCAGUUAGUACUAUUGAUUUUGGGACCAAAGCUUUAGAAUUUCUGGCCUUGCGUGAGAAUGAGGAUGGCACCACAAAUGCACCAUCUAUUCCUCCUAACAAUCAUCAGGUAUGGACAUUACUUUCAAUUUUGUUACAAUUUUUGUCUUUUAAUUUAUGUAAUUUUGAACCAUAGAUCAGUAUUAGUGUUAUUAUUAUUUUGGAAUUUUGAAAAAUUAAGGAUUUUUAUUUGAAAUGUAUAAUGAUUUUCAUAUUAUCUUUAAAUCUAAAGCAAGACCUUUAUUACUAUUAACAUCAAAGAGAACAUAAUGAUAAUUAUGAGCUAAAAAAUUAGGAUAGUAAGUUUGGUGUUAGCUGCAAUCUUAUAAUGUUUGGUGUUCUCUUACUUCUUUUCUUAUUGUAUUUAGGUUUUUAGUAAAUUUUAAAAUUCACUUAUUCCAAUAAUAUUUUACUGUUUGUGUAUAGCAAAGCAUUGAUUUAGUGUGUAUAUAUAUAUUAUAUAUGAACUCUUAACAAUAAGUACUCAAAGUGCUAAGGAGAUAGGUUCUUUCAUAUGCACUUAUGUAAAUACUUUUAUUUGUGUGAAGAAGAAUCAUUAUAUGGGUUCAUAAUAACUGUAUUGCUCUCUUUUGAUUUGGAUUUGUUUCUAGGUUUUGCUCUCUUUUUAUUGCUUAUUUAUUUAUUUAUUUUCUUUUCGCUCUUAAAAGCUAUGUAAUAUAAGAAGGCAAACUAGGAUGUGAAGAAAAUAUACAUGAUUUCUUUUCACUCAUCAAUUUAACAUUUUUGCUCUAGAAUAUAUUUGCUACUAAAAUCAUAGUUUCUUACAUAAUUGUAGGCAUUAUUUUUCUUAUAUUCUUUAACAUUGUUGCCUAUGCAUAAGAUUUUGAAUUUCUGCUAUACUUGAUACUUGGUAGUUAUUUUAUUUCAAUUAAGAAAAUGGUUGCUUUUUUGUUUCAAAGUUUAGACUAAACCAAAAACUACCUUCCUAUGCUUACUUCGAAUUCUGAAGUCAUUGCUGAGAUUUUCUUUUUCUCAAGAGUUGUGGUGCAUACUGGAGGUUUCAAUCGUUAGAGUGUGCGGUAAAAAAUGGUUGCUCCUUCAAAUAAUUUUGCAUGUUAUUUGAGUUCAAUAUGUCAUUACUUCAUGUUUAUUUUGUUCAUUUGAUUGUUGUAUUUUGUUAAAUUUGUGAUCAAUACCAAAAAUGAAACUCCAAACAAGAAAGCUGUUGAGGGAUUAUAACUAACUCUUUAUGAUCAGGAGUACCAAGAGGUGCAAAUAAAGAAAAAGGUGCAAUUUAGUGUGAAUGUAAAAUAAGAUGGAAUUGUGAUUAAGUGUCUAACUAUAUGCUACUUGAGUUUGUAAUAUUUGUAAAAAUAUUAG